Molecule: ribosomal RNA, 460 nt
Filed under: uncultured bacterium
Lineage: Bacteria
Description: partial 16S ribosomal RNA
Rfam family: Bacterial small subunit ribosomal RNA
Source: RNAcentral
CCUACGGGUGGCAGCAGUGAGGAAUAUUGGUCAAUGGUCGCGAGCCUGAACCAGCCAAGCAGCGUGAGGGAGGAAUGUCCUACGGAUUGUAAACCUCUUUUAUAAGGGAAUAAAGUCAGGCACGUGUGCCUGUUUGAGUGUACUUGAUGAAUAAGCAUCGGCUAACUCCGUGCCAGCAGCCGCGGUAAUACGGAGGAUCCGAGCGUUAUCCGGAUUUAUUGGGUUUAAAGGGUGCGUAGGUGGUUUGUUAAGUCAGUUGUGAAAGAUUGGGGCUCAACCGUAAAAUUGCAGUUGAUACUGGCAGUCUUGAGUGCAGGUGAGGUAGGCGGAAUGCGUGGUGUAGCGGUGAAAUGCUUAGAUAUCACGAAGAACUCCGAUUGCGAAGGCAGCUUACUAAACUGCCACUGACGUUGAUGCUCGAAAGUGUGGGUAUCAAACAGGAUUAGAUACCCCUGUAGUC